AGUCAAUAGAUACCCUGGUAGUCCAUGCCGUAAACGAUGAAUACUAGGUGUAGGAGGUAUCGACUCCUUCUGUGCCGCAGUUAACACAAUAAGUAUUCCGCCUGGGGAGUACGGUCGCAAGAUUAAAACUCAAAGGAAUUGACGGGGGCCCGCACAAGCAGCGGAGCAUGUGGUUUAAUUCGAAGCAACGCGAAGAACCUUACCCAGACUUGACAUCUCCUGAAUUAAUCGUAAUUGAUGAAAAUCCCUUCGGGGACAGGAAGACAGGUGGUGCAUGGUUGUCGUCAGCUCGUGUCGUGAGAUGUUGGGUUAAGUCCCGCAACGAGCGCAACCCUUAUCAUUAGUUGCUAACAUUAAGUUGAGCACUCUAGUGAGACUGCCCGGGUUAACCGGGAGGAAGGUGGGGAUGACGUCAAAUCAUCAUGCCCCUUAUGUCUGGGGCUACACACGUGCUACAAUGGUGGGAACAAAGAGAUGCAAGACCGCGAGGUGGAGCCAAACUCAAAAACCCAUCCCAGUUCGGAUUGUAGGCUGAAACUC
RNAcentral lists this ribosomal RNA (540 nucleotides) under uncultured bacterium. RNAcentral's name for it is "bacterial SSU rRNA". It matches the Rfam family "Bacterial small subunit ribosomal RNA", at positions 774 to 1313 of the family's 1533-position model. The record is from RNAcentral.